CUCUAAAUGUCUUGUAGAAUUCAGCAGUGAAGCCAUCAGGGCCCGGGCUUUUCUUAGUUGGUAAGUUUUUAAUUACAUUUUCAAUUUCUUUGAUUGAUAUUGGGUUGUUUAGAAUUUUUAGGUCUUCAUUCAACUUUGGUAAUUCAUAUGUGUCUAGGAAUCUGUCCAUUUCUUCUGUUUUCCAUCUUAUUGGCAUAUAGGUUCUCGAAGUAGAUAUUGAUGAUCCUCUGGAUUUCUGCUGGGUCUGUUGUAAUUUCACCCUUUUCAUUCUGAAUUGCAUGGAUUUUGGCCUUGUCUUUCCUUUCUCUGAUAAGGCUGGCUAAGAGUUUGUCGAUUUUGUUUAUUCUUUCGAAGAACCAACUCUUGGCUUCAUUGAUUUUUUGUAUUGUUUUUUUAGUCUCCAUUGCAUUGAUUUCUGCCCUGAUCUUUAUAAUUUCCUCCUUUCUAUGGGCUUUGGGUUUGUCCUGCUCUUCUUUUUCUAGAAGCUUGAGGUUCAACAUCAAGUUGUUUAGUUGGGCUUACUCUGUUUUCCUAAUAUGAGUAUUCACUGCUAUGAAUUUCCCUUGUAAGACUAUCAUUGUGUCCUGUAGAUUCUGAUAUGUUGUACCAUCAUUGUCAUUUAUUUGAAGGAACUGUCUGAUUUCUUCUUUAAUUUCCUCUGUGACUCACUGGUUAUUCAGAAGUGUUCAAUUUCCAUGUGUUUAUGAAAUUUUUGUAGUUUCUUUUGCUAUUGAUCUCCAAUUCAUCGCACUAUGGUCUGAUAAUAUUCAGGGGAUAAUUUCAAUUCCUUUGCACUUACCUAAAUAUGUUCUAUGAGUGAGUAUGUGGUCUAUUUUGGAGAACAACCCAUGUGCAGCUGAAAAGAAUGUGUACUCUGAUUUUGUGGGGUGGAAUACUCUGUGAACAUCUGUUCAGUUCAUAUGUUCAAGAGUUUGAGUUCUAGUAUUUCAUUGCUUGUUUUUUGUCUAGUUGAUCUAUUUGUGACAAUGGGGUAUUGAGGUCCCCCACUAUCAUUGUAUUAGUGCUUAUAUGAUUUUUCAUGUCCAUUAGUAUUUGUUUUAUAUAGUUGGGCGCACUAGUGUUUGGUACAUAGACAUUUAUAAUUGUCAUCUCUUCCUCUUGGAUUGUUCCCUUUAUAAGGAUGUAGUGUACUUCUUUGUCUCUCUUAAUCAGUGUGGGUUUGAAAUCCACUUGGUCUGCAAAGAGGAUAGCUACUCCUGCUUGUUUUCAGGUUCCUGUCACAUGGAGUAUUGUUUUCCACCCUUUAACUUUCAGUCUAUGAGGUUUUUUUUUAAAUUAUUUUUUUAUGAGUUUCUUUUUGAAUUAAGUGUGCUUUUUGUAUGCAGCAUAUUGUUGGAUCUUGCUUCUUCAUCCAUUCUGCCAGUCUUUUUUUUUUUUUGGUACCGGGGACUGAACUCAGGUCCUUGCACUUGCACAGCAGGUGGUGAAACCACUGAGCUAAAUCCACAGCCUCUAUUUCUUUUGAUUGGUGAGUUGAGACCAUUAACAUUGAUGGUUAUAACUGAUACGUACUGAGUUAUCAUUGUCAUGACUUUUUGUUUUUGUUGGAUUUUCCCCCUUUGCUUUAAUUUCUUGUUGGGCCCAGUGGAUUCAUUCUGCUGGGCUUCCUAGGGUUGUGAUCCCCAUUGACUUUUCCUAAGAUUCUAAAAUUUUUUUUUUUUUUUUUGUACUGGGGAUCGAACUCGGGUCCUUGUGCUUGCACAGCAGGCGGCAAAACCACUGAGCUAAAUCCCUGGCCCUUGUCUAAAAUUUUUUGGAGUGCUGGUUUGGUAACAUGAAGUUCCUAAGGUGCUCUUUGUCAUGAAAGUAUCAUAUUUCACCAUCAAUUCUGAAAGAUAGUUUUGCAGGGUACAUCAAUCUGGGUUGGAGGUUGUUUUCCUUUAGGGCUUGAAAUAUAUCACUCCAACCUCUUCUUGCCUUGAGAGUUUGCAUUAGAAGUCUGCUGUGAUUCUGAUGGGCUUUCCUUUGUAUGUGAUUUAUUUCUUUUCUUUAACUGCUUGUAAAAUUUUGUUCUUCUGUUGGGUUUCUGGAAUCUUAACAAUUAUAUGCCUAUGUUGUUUUUUUUCAUCAAGGCUAGUUGGAGUCCUAUAUGCCUCAGUUAUUUGUAUGUUAAGUUCUUCUCCCCUGCUUGGGACGUUUUCUGCCAUCACUUCUGUGAACAGUUUUUUUAUGUCAUCUGCACUCUCUCCUGUUUCUUCAUUGACUCCAAUCAGUCUUAUGUUAUUCUUCUUUGCAUUGUCUAGCAAGUGCUGGAUUGAUUUUUCGUAGUCCCUUACAAUUUUAAAGAAAUCUUUCUUUUCCUGGUCACUAAUUGCAAUCUUAUCUUCUAUAUCUGAAAUUCUGUCUUCACAUUGGCUCAUUCUGCUGCAUAGACUUUCAGUGGAGUUUUUAAUCUCCUGGAAAUCUGUUCGCAUCUGUUUCAUGGAUUCCAUUUGUUUCCUAUGUUGGGACUGCAUCAUGUUCUGCAGUUCCUCUAUUUUUCAAUCUGUGUCCUCUCUAGAUUUUUUUAAUCAUACCUUGCACUAUGGGCACAGUCUCUGCUGAUUUCACCUUUUGCAGAUCAUCUUUCGUUGCUAGUUCAGGGUGUCCAAGUGGUUGAGUAUCAGAGGGUUCCAUCUUGUUUCCCUUUGGGGUUGCUUUAGGUGAUCUGGAAGUCUGGUUCUGAGGCUUGUUUAUGUGUCUUCUCAUUUCGACUGGGGUGGGGGUGGGGGUUCUGCUGGCACCCACACAGCUCACCUCUGUGCUGGGAGCUGUGGCAUGCUGACCUGGAAGCCUCCUCUGUGGUGGGAGCUGUGGCACGCCUACCCAGAAGCCUCCUUUACACUGGGAGCUGUGGCACACUAACCUGGAAGCCUCCUCCACACUGGGAGCCACAGCACAUUGACCCAGAAGCCUCCUCUGCGCUGAGCUGUGCACUUCUGAACAUGGGUCCCUCUCUAGUGUGUAGUUAGUCACAAAGAAAUACCCCUAAAGUCAUGAUGAGAGCCAGGUGUGAUGGUGCAUGCCUGUAAUCCCAGCACUGGGGAAGCUCAGGCAGGAGGUCACUGUGAGUUCAGGCCAUC
Long non-coding RNA from Heterocephalus glaber (naked mole-rat), 3083 nucleotides. The record is from Ensembl. NCBI's taxonomy places the organism in Eukaryota, Metazoa, Chordata, Mammalia, Rodentia, Bathyergidae.